Molecule: long non-coding RNA, 862 nt
Organism: Scylla paramamosain (green mud crab)
Lineage: Eukaryota; Metazoa; Arthropoda; Malacostraca; Decapoda; Portunidae
Exons: 3
Source: RefSeq, a predicted model, not a curated record
UUUUAUUUGUUUGGUAAGUGUGGGUGAAAUAUUUACAACUGAUGUCACUCGUUUAUUCACUGAAAUAUAACACGGAACUAGAAAACUGGUGGAGGGAGGGAGCGCUGGUGGAGGGAGGGUAGAAGGGGAGUGGAGGGUGCAGAGAGUGUAAAGAAGAGCGAGUGUGUAGCAGGGAAAGUACUGGUCUGUGCUGCGUGUGGGAAGUAACUUUAGUGGCGGCGUGAAGGCGAGGACACGAGUGAGGUGCUGGCAGGCUGACUGAGAACGUCAUUGUACGACAGAGUAGCCAGCUAAACAGCCGAGCCCUCAGCGUGCGCCUCCCGCCGGACAAGGGACCCUACAUCCAACACUACUCUCAUUGAGAUCCACAACGAAGGCUCCUCCUACUCACUCCAAGCUUCUGAAACCGCUUCGACACCCUUCCUUCGCUCAUCACCUAUUAUUCUCAGUGCUGCGAAGAGUUGCUGGCUCAGCUCAAGCUUCCUCGCACCGUCCAGGAGGCCAAGACCCGCCAUGAACUCGGCUCUCUCUCGCUGCUCGGACAAGGUGAGCAUCAAACACUUACGUGGUCGUGAAAUGUAAUUGAAGUGUAAUGAGCGAGAGGAGGAUUCUCCACUUCAAUGGUGGAAUGACCUCUGCCUUUCUACGAAUGUGUGGGUAGUUUGAUGGCCCGGGAAGUUAAUAAUCCUUGACUGCAAUGCCUCAUUCAUGACAUCUGCUUACCCCAGUGAAUGUCCACGAUGUCACCACUACGAUGGCCAGUUAUAAGACUGCCAUAGCGACUGAGUUGGUGCAAAAAGUAUCCCCUACCUGGCGGACAGUACCUCCUUGCCCACGAGAUCAUCCCUUUCAUUCUGUGUAA